UCAAAUUAUUAAGCGCACAUGGCGGAUGCCUUGGCAUCAGAAGCCGAUGAAGGACGUAGUAGGCUGCGAUAAGCCUCGGGGAGCUGCCAAAGAGCUUUGAUCCGGGGAUUUCUGAAUGGGGCAACCCAGCAUAGUGAGAGCUAUGUUACCCUACGGGGAGCUAACCUGGUGAAGUGAAACAUCUCAGUAGCCAGAGGAAGAGAAAUCAAACGAGAUUCCGUCAGUAGCGGCGAGCGAAAGCGGAUUAGGACAAACCCAAUGCUUGCAUUGGGGGUUGUAGGACCAUAACGUGAGACUAAAGAAGAUAGAUGAAAUACUUGGAAAAGUGUAGCAUAGAAGGUGAAACUCCUGUAAUUUAAAUUUUCAAUAGCUCUAUUGGUAUCCUGAGUAGGUCGGAACACGUGAUAUUUUGACUGAAACUGGGGGGACCACCCUCCAAUCCUAAAUACUACUUACAGAUCGAUAGUGAACAAGUACCGUGAGGGAAAGGUGAAAAGUACUGCAGCGAGCAGAGUGAAAUAGAACCUGAAACCAUUAGCUUACAAUCAUUCAGAGCCCUAUGAUUUAUCAGGGUGAUGGACUGCCUUUUGCAUAAUGAGCCUGCGAGUUGUGGUGUCUGGCAAGGUUAAGCCAAGUGCGAAGCCGUAGCGAAAGCGAGUCUUAAUAGGGCGAAAUAGUCAGAUGCUGCAGACCCGAAACGAAGUGAUCUAUCCAUGAGCAGGUUGAAGCUGGUGUAAGAGCCAGUGGAGGACCGAACCCAUUGACGUUGAAAAGUCUCGGGAUGACUUGUGGAUAGGGGUGAAAGGCCAAUCAAACCUGGACAUAGCUGGUUCUCCGCGAAAUCUAUUUAGGUAGAGCGUCCGACGAAUACCCUGGGGGGUAGAGCACUGGAUGGAUGCGGGCUGCGCGAGCGGUACCAAUUCUAACCAAACUCCGAAUACCCAGGAGUACUAUCGGGCAGACACACGGCGGGUGCUAACGUCCGUCGUGAAAAGGGAAACAACCCUAACCAUCAUCUAAGGCCCCCAAGUAACGGCUAAGUGGGAAACGAUGUGGGAUUGCUUUGACAACCAGGAGGUUGGCUUAGAAGCAGCCAUCCUUUAAAGAAAGCGUAACAGCUCACUGGUCUAGUGAUUCUGCGCGGAAAAUAUAACGGGGCUAAGAUGUGCACCGAAGCUUUAGAUUCGAAUUUAUUCGAGUGGUAGGAGAGCGUUCUAUUCAGCGUUGAAGGUAUACCGGUAAGGAGUGCUGGAGCGGAUAGAAGUGAGCAUGCAGGCAUGAGUAGCGAUAAUUAAGGUGAGAAUCCUUAACGCCGAAAACCCAAGGUUUCCUACGCGAUGCUCGUCAUCGUAGGGUUAGUCGGGUCCUAAGUCGAGACUGAAAAGUGUAGACGAUGGCAAAUUGGUUAAUAUUCCAAUACCAACAUAUAAGCGCGAUGUGGGGACGCAUAGAGUUAAUCGAGCUCACUGAUGGAAUAGUGGGUCGAAGGACGUAGGUUGUUAAGUAGGCAAAUCCGCUUAACGUUAGACCGAGAUCUUACAGGCUCUUGACACUCUUCGGAGGAGAUGGAGAAUCGAUGAUACUGUCGUGCCAAGAAAAGCCACUAAGUUUAUUAUAUGUUGCCCGUACCGUAAACCGACACAGGUGGGUGGGAUGAGUAUUCUAAGGCGCGUGGAAGAACCCUGGUUAAGGAACUCUGCAAACUAGCACCGUAUCUUCGGUAUAAGGUGUGCCUACUUUGGUAUAUGGACUUGCUCCAAAAAGCUAGAGAGGUUGCAACAAAGAGUCCCUCCCGACUGUUUACCAAAAACACAGCACUUUGCUAACACGUAAGUGGAUGUAUAAGGUGUGACGCCUGCCCGGUGCUCGAAGGUUAACUGAUGAUGUCAGCGCAAGCGAAGCAUUUGAUUGAAGCCCGAGUAAACGGCGGCCGUAACUAUAACGGUCCUAAGGUAGCGAAAUUCCUUGUCAGUUAAAUACUGACCUGCAUGAAUGGCGUAACGAGAUGGGAGCUGUCUCAAAGAGGGAUCCAAGAUCGGA
This 2040-nucleotide ribosomal RNA is filed under the name wastewater metagenome. RNAcentral's name for it is "bacterial LSU rRNA". It matches the Rfam family "Bacterial large subunit ribosomal RNA", at positions 3 to 2040 of the family's 2925-position model. The record is from RNAcentral.